UUCCCGUCCCCUGCUGUCCUGAGGCAGAGAACCAGGCUGCGGUGCCCCUGCCGGCGCCUGGGGUGUCCCUACGUGACAGGGAGGGCCCGGGGGGCAGAGGGAUCCUCAGCGCGGGGUCCCCCCUAAAUUUCUCUCUCUCCUUUUCCGCCCUCUCUUCUCCCUCCACUAUCCGGCUCCUCUUUCCCUCCCCUCCUCCUCUCCUGCUCCCCACACCCUCCCCACAGGUGUCACCGCCCCCUCGCCCUCACGUGACCUGGCAUUUCUGGGGGGAGGGGCCCAGUAUGGGCUUUUCUGUCUCGACAUCUCCAGCACCUAGAAUGCAGCGAGGCAUACAGUGGGCGCCUCACCAAUGCACGUUGAGUUGACCCGAGUCCUGGACACAGACAGGCCGCCGCCGGGGUCACUCUGGGCAUUUCCCAGGCAGAGGCAGGUCGGGGUGGAGGGGGAAGGGCCCACCCCACUCAUGGCUGCCUUUUCCUUUCCAGCUCUGCCUCGUGGGACCCCAGGGGCCUGGGUGUGGGACAGAGCGGGGAGCAGCAAGGAGCCAGAAUGGGCCCCGAGUUCCUCACCAGCAGGCCCCCCCAGUAGGAUCACAUAACACUUGGGAAUAAAGAUGCAGCCCAGUAACCCAGCACUGGAGGCAAGGAUGGAGAAGAUCUCUACAACCACCAUGGCCUUACCCUUGGUGCUCUGGUUCUGCAAUAUCCAGGAAGGCCACAACCUUGGGGAAGCAAUGAUCUCUAUCCCUAUUUGGAUACUCAUGUUCUGGGCACUUCUCACAGUGGUCCACAUCUGAAGAGGAAGAAAAUACAGUCAGGUCUUAUCUUGUACAGGAGGAGCUACUGUUAGUGACCUCUCUGAGAUUACCUUCCACCUACUCUGUAUAUGUUCUCAUUACCUUACUAUUCACACACUGUGUUUCCUAUUAAAAGGUGAACUCCUUGAA
This is a long non-coding RNA of Phascolarctos cinereus (koala), 946 nucleotides long. RefSeq lists it as uncharacterized. The record is from RefSeq and is a predicted model, not a curated record. Lineage: Eukaryota; Metazoa; Chordata; Mammalia; Diprotodontia; Phascolarctidae.